UCUAAUACCGGAUAACACUGCGGAUCGCAUGGUCUGCGGUUGAAAGCUCCGGCGGUGAAGGAUGAGCCCGCGGCCUAUCAGCUUGUUGGUGGGGUGAUGGCCUACCAAGGCGACGACGGG
This 120-nucleotide ribosomal RNA is filed under the name Streptomyces graminofaciens. RNAcentral describes it as "partial 16S rRNA". It matches the Rfam family "Bacterial small subunit ribosomal RNA", at positions 162 to 283 of the family's 1533-position model. Lineage: Bacteria; Bacillati; Actinomycetota; Actinomycetes; Kitasatosporales; Streptomycetaceae. The record is from RNAcentral. RNAcentral also lists the same sequence under 2 other names.